This 217-nucleotide long non-coding RNA is filed under the name Aquila chrysaetos chrysaetos. Its description in RNAcentral is "lncRNA (ENSACCG00020009380.1)". Lineage: Eukaryota; Metazoa; Chordata; Aves; Accipitriformes; Accipitridae. The record is from RNAcentral.
AGAAAACAUGCAAUAUAAGUUUUUACACACAGCACAUCACUAACACAGAGCUAUUGUAUUACUCAGGGAGAACUAGGACUACCGGGUGCUCCAGGUGAACCAGGCUACCCAGGCAUUCCUGGUACGCAGGGUAUAAAGGGGGACAAAGGAAACCAAGGUGAAAGUGGUAUCCAGGGUCUGAAAGGAGAAAAAGGAAGGCAAGGAAAUCCAGGCUUAC